UUGGAGACCUCAAAUCAGGUAGGACUACCCGCUGAACUUAAGCAUAUCAAUAAGCGGAGGAAAAGAAACUAACAAGGAUUCCCCUAGUAACUGCGAGUGAAGCGGGAAAAGCUCAAAUUUGAAAUCUGGCGGUUCUUGACCGUCCGAGUUGUAGUCUAGAGAAGUGUUACCUGUGCUGGACCGUGUAAAAGUCUUCUGGAAUGGAGCAUCAUAGAGGGUGAGAAUCCCGUCUUUGACACGGACUACCUGUACAUUAUGGUGCGCUCUCAAAGAGUCGAGUUGUUUGGGAAUGCAGCUCAAAAUGGGUGGUAAAUGCCAUCUAAAGCUAAAUAUUGGCGAGAGACCGAUAGCGAACAAGUACCGUGAGGGAAAGAUGAAAAGAACUUUGGAAAGAGAGUUAAACAGUACGUGAAAUUGCUGAAAGGGAAACGCUUGAAGUCAGUCGCGUUGGCUGGAAAUCAACCUUGCUCUUGCUUGGUGUACUUUCUGGUUGACGGGUCAGCAUCAAUUUUGACCGCUGGAUAAAGUCUUUGGGAAUGUGGCAUCUUAGGAUGUGUUAUAGCCCAUUGUCGCAUACAGUGGUUGGGAUUGAGGAACUCAGCACGCCGCAAGGCCCGGUUUCGACCACGUUCGUGCUUAGGAUGCUGGCAUAAUGGCUUUAAUCGACCCGUC
Molecule: ribosomal RNA, 672 nt
Filed under: Inocybe chondroderma
Lineage: Eukaryota; Fungi; Basidiomycota; Agaricomycetes; Agaricales; Inocybaceae
Description: eukaryotic LSU rRNA
Rfam family: Eukaryotic large subunit ribosomal RNA
Source: RNAcentral